Xiphias gladius (swordfish) is the source of this 1409-nucleotide RNA transcript. It is a transcript of the gene named hypoxanthine phosphoribosyltransferase 1, like, with no coding region annotated. The transcript is spliced from 10 exons. NCBI's taxonomy places the organism in Eukaryota, Metazoa, Chordata, Actinopteri, Istiophoriformes, Xiphiidae. The record is from RefSeq and is a predicted model, not a curated record.
UUCCCCGCCCGGCAGCGGAGCGUCGCAUGUGCUACUCGGGCUCGCUCGCUAUCAACAGCAGUCUGCGAGAGAGGAGCCGCUCGUGCAACCUCCAGUCAACAACAAACCCACCCCUCCUCCCUCUCCCUCUCUCCCUCUCCUCCCUCUCCCUCUCUCUCUUUCCCCGGACCCGAGCAUGACUCCUCAGACGUUUCACCGCGACUGAACUGAACACACGGCCGCCUCCUGACAUGGCUUCGUAUCUGCAGAUCGCCGAUGACGAGAAAGGCCACGAGCUGGACCUUUUCUGUGUCCCCAGACAUUAUGAGAACGAUUUGGACAAGGUGAUCAUCCCCCACGGACUCAUCAUGGACAGGACAGAGCGUCUGGCCCGCGACAUAAUCCGGGACAUGGGGGGACACCACAUCGUAGCUCUGUGUGUGCUAAAAGGGGGCUACAAGUUCUUCGCAGACCUCCUUGACUACAUCAAAGCACUGAACCAGAACAGUGAUAAAUCAGUCCCGCUGACAGUGGAUUUCAUUAGGGUGAAGAGCUACUGUAAUGACAAGUCAACAAACAGUGUCAAAGUCAUAGGAGGGGAUGAGCUGUCCAAUCUCUCAGGCAAGAAUGUUUUGAUUGUCGAGGAUAUUGUGGAGACGGGAAGGACGAUGCAGACGCUACUGUCCUUGCUGAGUGAAUGUAAUCCCAAAAUGGUUAAAGUUGUAAGGCUGCCUUCUGGUGAAGAGGACCCCGAGGAGUUCAGGGUACAGACCAGACUACAUUGGCUUUGAGGUACCAGAUGCCUUUCUGGUAGGCUACGCUUUGGACUACAAUGAAUACUUCAGAGAUCUCAGUCACAUCUGCAUACUGAAUGACCAAGCCAAGGAGAAAUACAAAGUGUGAGCAGAUUAAGUGCUGCAGAAGCGAUGACUGAAUCAAUGAAGACUAGGACCACUGUGAGGACCCUCGUUAGCUUUGCUGUGUUUUGAAUCUUAUUUAUUUUUCUACAUACGAAUCCACAAAAAAGUGACAUGUGGGUUGUAAAUAUCUUCAAGAACAUUUCUUUUGCCCCCAACUGAAUAAGUGGGAUCAGUUGUGUAUAUUAAGAAUAUUUUGGUUGUCAAAUUUUAAUUUAUUUAUUCACCUUUGUGUAUAGACUCUACCUGUAAAUUGCAGUUUUAUCUUGGAGAUAGAGAAAGAAUGUAAUUAAUUUGCUCUGGCUCAUGAAAUCACAGGUCUCAGGCUAAUGCUUUAUGUUCAGUGAGCUGUCAGAUGUUAGCACGUGUUUUCGUUUCGACUUAUAAUGCUGAUAUAUCCUCUCAUUAUGCCAUAAAAUUACUGACUUGAAAUGUACUGUAUGUUUAAUUUCAUAUCUGAUGUUUUCAUGGAAGACCUGUUUACAGCAAUACAAAUCCCAUUGAAACCUUGAA